RNAcentral lists this ribosomal RNA (1244 nucleotides) under metagenome. Its description in RNAcentral is "bacterial LSU rRNA". It matches the Rfam family "Bacterial large subunit ribosomal RNA", at positions 1564 to 2818 of the family's 2925-position model. The record is from RNAcentral.
UGAGUACGAGACGCUAAGGCGUCGAAGUAGUGGAUGUCAUACUUCCAAGAAAAGCUUGCACUGUCAUAAAUAAAGAACGCCUGUACCAUAACCGACGCAGGUGGGUAGGUAGAGUAUACUAAGGGGCGCGAGAUAACUCUCUCUAAGGAACUCGGCAAAAUAACUCCGUAACUUCGGGAGAAGGAGUGCCUUAUUCGUAAGGCCGCAAUAACAAGAUCCAAGCAACUGUUUAUCAAAAACACAGGUCUCCGCUAAGUCGUAAGACGAUGUAUGGGGGCUGACGCCUGCCCAGUGCCAGAAGGUUAAAGAAGUCGGUUAGCAUUAGCGAAGCUGGUAACUGAAGCCCUGGUGAACGGCGGCCGUAACAAUAACGGUCCUAAGGUAGCGAAAUUCCUUGUCGGGUAAGUUCCGACCCGCACGAAAGGCGUAAUGAUUUGGAUACUGUCUCGGAGAGGGGCUCGGUGAAAUAGACUUGUCUGUGAAGAUGCGGACUACCUGCACCAGGACAGAAAGACCCUAUGAAGCUUUACUGUAACUUGAAAUUGAAAUUGGACUUUAUUCGCGCAGUAUAGGUGGGAGGUGUUGAUUAUAAUCUUGCGGGAUUAUUGGAGCCAUCAGUGAGAUACCACUCUUGUAAUGUUAGAUUUCUAACUUUGAAUCAUUAUCUGGUCAAAGAACAGUUUCAGGCGGGCAGUUUGACUGGGGCGGUCGCCUCCUAAAUGGUAACGGAGGCGUACAAAGGUUUCCUCUGAACGGGUAGAAAUCGUAUCUAGAGUGUAAAGGCAUAAGGAAGCUUGACUGUGAGACCUACAAGUCGAGCAGGGACGAAAGUCGGUCUUAGUGAUCUGACGGUACUGAGUGGAAAGGCCGUCACCCAACGGAUAAAAGUUACUCUAGGAUAACAGGCUGAUCUCCCCCAAGAGUUCACAUCGACGGGGAGGUUUGGCACCUCGAUGUCGGCUCAUCGCAUCCUGGGGCGGUAGUACGUCCCAAGGGUUGGGCUGUUCGCCCAUGAAAGCGGUACGCGAGCUGGGUUCAGAACGUCGUGAGACAGUUCGGUCCAUAUCCGGUGUAGGCGUUAGAAUAUUGAGAGGAGCCUUCUUUAGUACGAGAGGACCGAGAAGGACAUACCUCUGGUGUACCAGUUAUCGUGCCAACGGUAAACGCUGGGUAGCUAUGUAUGGAGUGGAUAACCGCUGAAAGCAUCUAAGUGGGAAGCCCACCUCAAGAUAAGUAUUCUCACC